RNAcentral lists this ribosomal RNA (253 nucleotides) under uncultured bacterium. RNAcentral's name for it is "partial 16S ribosomal RNA". It matches the Rfam family "Bacterial small subunit ribosomal RNA", at positions 524 to 776 of the family's 1533-position model. The record is from RNAcentral.
UACGGAGGGUGCAAGCGUUAAUCGGAAUUACUGGGCGUAAAGCGCACGCAGGCGGUGUGUUAAGUCGGAUGUGAAAUCCCCGGGCUCAACCUGGGAACUGCAUUUGAUACUGGCAGACUUGAGUCUUGUAGAGGGGGGUAGAAUUCCAGGUGUAGCGGUGAAAUGCGUAGAGAUCUGGAGGAACACCGGUGGCGAAGGCGGCUUCCUGGUCUGAGACUGACGCUCAGGUGCGAAAGCGUGGGGAGCAAACAGG